RNAcentral lists this ribosomal RNA (1341 nucleotides) under Zeugodacus rubellus. RNAcentral's name for it is "16S ribosomal RNA". Lineage: Eukaryota; Metazoa; Arthropoda; Insecta; Diptera; Tephritidae. The record is from RNAcentral.
UGUAGUAUUUAUUUAUUAAUGUAAAUUUUUAUUGGUUUAUAAGUAUUAAAAAUAAUUAUAAAAUUUUAUGUUUUAGUAAUUUUUAAUGAAAAAAUAAUUUUAAUAAUAGUGUAUUAGGUAUUGUGAAAGAUAAUUGAAAUAAUUUGAAAAAUAAUUAUUUAAAAAGAAAAUUUUAUUUAUUGUACCUUGUGUAUCAGGGUUUAUUUAAUAAUUAAUAAUUUUAUUUAUUAAUCUCGAUUUUAUAAGAGUUAAUAAUUUAUGAAAGUUAAUGUGUCAAAAUUAUUUUAAAUAAAUUAUUAGAAAUGAAAUGUUAUUCGUUUAUAAAGGUAUCUAGUUUUUUUAGAAAUAAAUUUAAUUUACAAUUUUUUAAUUUUUAAAUUAUUUAUUUAAUUUAAAAAAUUAUUAAUUUGAAUAUUCUAAGGGAUAAGCUUUAGAAUAAAUUUUUAAAAAUUAAUUAAUAAAAUAUAAAAAUGUAUGCUUAGAAUUAGUAAUCAUUAAUAAGUUUGUUAUAAAUUAUUUAUUAUUAAUAUAUUAUUUAUUAAGUUUUAAGUUUAUAUAAAAAUUUUUUUAUAAAUAAUUUUAUGAAAAUAAAUAAUGAUGGAAUUAGUAUAAUAAAUUAUUGUUUAAAUAAAUUUAUAUGAUAAGUUUAUAUAAAGAAUUCGGCAAAUAUAUUACUCGCCUGUUUAACAAAAACAUGUCUUUUUGAGUUAUUUUAAAAGUCUAACCUGCCCACUGAAUAAAUUUUUAAAUGGCCGCAGUAUUCUAACUGUGCAAAGGUAGCAUAAUCAUUAGUCUUUUAAUUGAAGGCUGGUAUGAACGGUUGGACGAAGUAUAAGCUGUUUCAUAUAAAAUUAUAUUAGAAUUUUAUUUUUUAGUAAAAAAGCUAAAAUUUUAUUAAAAGACGAGAAGACCCUAUAAAUCUUUUUAUUUGAUUUUAUAUAAAUUUUUUUGAUUUAUUUUGUUUUUAUAUAUUUAAAUAUUUUGUUGGGGUGAUGUUAAAAUUUAAAAAACUUUUAAUGAAUAAAAAUCAUUAAUUUAUGAAUUAUUGAUCCAUUAUUAAUGAUUAAAAAAUUAAGUUACUUUAGGGAUAACAGCGUAAUUUUUUUUGAGAGUUCAUAUCGAUAAAAAAGUUUGCGACCUCGAUGUUGGAUUAAGAUAAAUUUUUAGGUGUAGCCGUUUAAAUAUAAAGUCUGUUCGACUUUUAAAUUCUUACAUGAUCUGAGUUCAGACCGGCGUAAGCCAGGUUGGUUUCUAUCUUUAAUAAGUUAUAAUAUUUUAGUACGAAAGGACCAAAUAUUGAAAUUAUUAAAUUUUUGUUAAAGAAUUUAAUUAAAAUAAUUA